This is a non-coding RNA of Xylaria venustula, 88 nucleotides long. The record is from the annotation of a GenBank genome assembly. Lineage: Eukaryota; Fungi; Ascomycota; Sordariomycetes; Xylariales; Xylariaceae.
GGUGUUAUAGUAUAGUGGUUAGUACGAUUCGUUGUGGCCUGAAGUGUUCAGCUCCGAAUAGACCCAGGUUCGAUUCCUGGUAACGCCA